RNAcentral lists this ribosomal RNA (253 nucleotides) under uncultured bacterium. RNAcentral describes it as "partial 16S ribosomal RNA". It matches the Rfam family "Bacterial small subunit ribosomal RNA", at positions 524 to 776 of the family's 1533-position model. The record is from RNAcentral.
UACGUAGGUGGCAAGCGUUGUCCGGAUUUACUGGGCGUAAAGAGCGCGCAGGCGGUCGUUCAAGUCGCGUGUGAAAGCCCCCGGCUCAACUGGGGAGGGUCACGCGAUACUGAUCGACUCGAAGGCAGGAGAGGGUAGUGGAAUUCCCGGUGUAGUGGUGAAAUGCGUAGAGAUGUGGAGGAACACCGAUGGCGAAGGCAGCCCCCUGGGUCAAGAUUGACGCUCAUGCACGAAAGCGUGGGGAGCAAACAGG